GUAUUUAUAGUUUAAUUAAAACAUUAGAUUGUGGUUCUAAAGACAAAAGUUAAAACCUUUUUACUUACC
RNAcentral lists this transfer RNA (69 nucleotides) under Rhizoprionodon acutus (milk shark). RNAcentral's name for it is "tRNA-His". It matches the Rfam family "tRNA". Rfam says of the family: Transfer RNA (tRNA) molecules are approximately 80 nucleotides in length. Their secondary structure includes four short double-helical elements and three loops (D, anti-codon, and T loops). Lineage: Eukaryota; Metazoa; Chordata; Chondrichthyes; Carcharhiniformes; Carcharhinidae. The record is from RNAcentral.